UGAGCACUGCACAGAGGAUAG
This 21-nucleotide unclassified non-coding RNA is filed under the name Mus musculus (house mouse). RNAcentral's name for it is "oocyte_clustered_small_RNA9438". Lineage: Eukaryota; Metazoa; Chordata; Mammalia; Rodentia; Muridae. The record is from RNAcentral.